RNAcentral lists this ribosomal RNA (261 nucleotides) under uncultured archaeon. Its description in RNAcentral is "partial 16S ribosomal RNA". It matches the Rfam family "Archaeal small subunit ribosomal RNA", at positions 748 to 1009 of the family's 1478-position model. The record is from RNAcentral.
UAGCCGUAAACGAUACUCGCUAGGUGUCGGCCACGGUGCGACCGUUGUCGGUGCCGUAGGGAAGCCGCGAAGCGAGCCACCUGGGAAGUACGGCCGCAAGGCUGAAACUUAAAGGAAUUGGCGGGGGAGCACAACAACGGGUGGAGCUUGCGGUUUAAUUGGAUUCAACGCCGGAAAUCUUACCGGGACCGACAGCAACAUGAAGGCCAAGCUGAAGACUUUGCCGGAUUAGCUGAGAGGAGGUGCAUGGCGUAGACGUCU